GGCAACUUUAGAAGCAAUAUCAACUCCAUUCAAUGAAAACAGUGAACUUUCAACUUUGUAACCAACAGGCAACAGCAGAAUCAGUACGCAUACAAUUCAUUCCCUUCAAUUUAGUACAAGGUCCUCAAUGAAAACAGGAACAACCUGUCCACAAUUGUAGGAUAUUUAACUAGGACAAUACCGAAAAGCAAAUAUGUGAAAAACAGCA
This 208-nucleotide unclassified non-coding RNA is filed under the name Hevea brasiliensis (rubber tree). The record is from RNAcentral. Lineage: Eukaryota; Viridiplantae; Streptophyta; Magnoliopsida; Malpighiales; Euphorbiaceae.